Molecule: ribosomal RNA, 254 nt
Filed under: uncultured bacterium
Lineage: Bacteria
Description: partial 16S ribosomal RNA
Rfam family: Bacterial small subunit ribosomal RNA
Source: RNAcentral
GACGGGGGGGGCAAGUGUUCUUCGGAAUGACUGGGCGUAAAGGGCACGUAGGCGGCCACCGCAAGUCGACUGUGAAAUCUCCGGGCUUAACCCGGAAAGGUCAGCCGAUACUGCGGGGCUAGAGUGCAGAAGGGGCAACUGGAAUUCUCGGUGUAGCGGUGAAAUGCGUAGAUAUCGAGAGGAACACCUGCGGCGAAGGCGGGUUGCUGGGCUGACACUGACGCUGAUGCGCGAAAGCUAGGGGAGCGAACGGG